This 490-nucleotide ribosomal RNA is filed under the name uncultured bacterium. RNAcentral's name for it is "partial 16S ribosomal RNA". It matches the Rfam family "Bacterial small subunit ribosomal RNA", at positions 30 to 507 of the family's 1533-position model. The record is from RNAcentral.
AUUGAACGCUGGCGGCAGGCCUAGCACAUGCAAGUCGAACGGUAACAGGAAGAAGCUUGCUUCUUUGCUGACGGGUGGCGGACGGGUGAGUAAUGUCUGGGAAACUGCCUGAUGGAGGGGGAUAACUACUGGAAACGGUAGCUAAUACCGCAUAACGUCGCAAGACCAAAGAGGGGGACCUUCGGGCCUCUUGCCAUCGGAUGUGCCCAGAUGGGAUUAGCUAGUAGGUGGGGUAACGGCUCACCUAGGCGACGAUCCCUAGCUGGUCUGAGAGGAUGACCAGCCACACUGGAACUGAGACACGGUCCAGACUCCUACGGGAGGCAGCAGUGGGGAAUAUUGCACAAUGGGCGCAAGCCUGAUGCAGCCAUGCCGCGUGUAUGAAGAAGGCCUUCGGGUUGUAAAGUACUUUCAGCGGGGAGGAAGGGAGUAAAGUUAAUACCUUUACUCAUUGACGUUACCCGCAGAAGAAGCACCGGCUAACUCCGUG